AACCAUCACCGAGCGUGCACCACUGUACCGACGUCGGAUCGAAGUACCCACCUGUCACUGUCGCGUCGGAACACUGGGUACGCACAAGUCGACCGGACCUACGAAGAUCCCACGGGUCAGUAACCAACCCACUCACCUGAAGUACACUGUCUCACAAACCCCACACAGAACCCCGUAUCGGUUUCCCAAAACCGAUCAUCGUAACUCACCGGAAGUCCCGAAAACCACACCGGGACGCCGUCGGGACCCACUAAGUGUCCCGAACUCACCGACUCGUGCCACGAGUCACCCCUGCCCCAAAACACUCCAAUUUGGAUGCCUUGGCAGCGGACACGAGGUGACACAACCAUACGAUCAUCGCCGGAUAAUCGUACGAAUCCGGGUUCCCGGAAGUGUCUAUUUCGACAUCGGAACCCACCGUCGCUCACCCAUCAUCAUCGAACCCACAAAAUGAUGAUGGUGACCAGCCAACAAGGCUCAGCGACAAAACACGAAGCAACCAAACACCGUCGGAAAGAAUCCGAACCGAAACCGCGUUUUUUCGGCGAAUUUCGCCGAAAAACGCACCGAAAUCGACCUACCGAUUUCCGCGAAAGCUAACGGACCAUGGACAAUUAGU
This 619-nucleotide long non-coding RNA is filed under the name Ananas comosus (pineapple). Its description in RNAcentral is "long non-coding RNA (ACOM_LNC044186)". Lineage: Eukaryota; Viridiplantae; Streptophyta; Magnoliopsida; Poales; Bromeliaceae. The record is from RNAcentral.